GUGGGGAAUAUUCCGCAAUGGACGAAAGUCUGACGGAGCAACGCCGCGUGAGUGAUGAAGGUUUUCGGACUGUAAAGCUCUGUUGUUUAGGACGAAAGUGCCUGUUGCAAAUAGUUACAGGUAUUGACGGUACUGAACGAGGAAGCCACGGCUAACUACGUGCCAGCAGCCGCGGUAAUACGUAGGUGGCAAGCGUUGUCCGGAAUUAUUGGGCGUAAAGAGCAUGUAGGCGGGAAUCUAAGUCUGUUGUGAAAAUGCGGGGCUCAACCCCGUAUUGCGAUGGAAACUGGGUUUCUUGAGUGCAGGGGAGGAAAGGGGAAUUCCCAGUGUAGCGGUGAAAUGCGUAGAUAUUGGGAGGAACACCAGUGGCGAAGGCGCCUUUCUGGACUGUGUCUGACGCUGAGAUGCGAAAGCCAGGGUAGCGAACGGGAUUAGAUACCCGUGUAGUCC
RNAcentral lists this ribosomal RNA (450 nucleotides) under uncultured bacterium. RNAcentral describes it as "partial 16S ribosomal RNA". It matches the Rfam family "Bacterial small subunit ribosomal RNA", at positions 354 to 796 of the family's 1533-position model. The record is from RNAcentral.